CAUGCGUGACAUUAGCUAGUCGGUGAGGUAACGGCUCACCGAGGCGACGAUGUCUAGGGGUUCUGAGAGGAAGGUCCCCCACACUGGUACUGAGACACGGACCAGACUCCUACGGGAGGCAGCAGUGAGGAAUAUUGGUCAAUGGGCUUACGCCUGAACCAGCCAAGUCGCGUGAGGGAAGACUGCCCUACGGGUUGUAAACCUCUUUUGUCAGGGAGCAACGCCGGCUACGUGUAGCCGGACUGAGAGUACCUGAAGAAAAAGCAUCGGCUAACUCCGUGCCAGCAGCCGCGGUAAUACGGAGGAUGCGAGCGUUAUCCGGAUUUAUUGGGUUUAAAGGGUGCGUAGGCGGAAUGCCAAGUCAGCGGUAAAAUCGCGGGGCUCAACCUCGCUCCGCCGUUGAAACUGGCGUUCUUGAGUGGGCGAGAAGUAUGCGGAAUGCGUGGUGUAGCGGUGAAAUGCAUAGAUAUCACGCAGAACUCCGAUUGCGAAGGCAGCAUACCGGCGCCCAACUGACGCUGAAGCACGAAAGCGUGGGUAUCGAACAGGAUUAGAUACCCUGGUAGUCCACGCAGUAAACGAUGAAUACUAG
This 592-nucleotide ribosomal RNA is filed under the name uncultured bacterium. RNAcentral describes it as "bacterial SSU rRNA". It matches the Rfam family "Bacterial small subunit ribosomal RNA", at positions 230 to 819 of the family's 1533-position model. The record is from RNAcentral.